GGACUACUGGGGUUUCUAAUCCUGUUUGCUCCCCACGCUUUCGCGUCUCAGCGUCAGUUCCGGACCAGUGAGCCGCCUUCGCCACUGGUGUUCUUGCGAAUAUCUACGAAUUUCACCUCUACACUCGCAAUUCCACUCACCUCUUCCGGACUCAAGACGAACAGUAUCAAAGGCAGUUCCAAGGUUGAGCCUUGGCAUUUCACCCCUGACUUAUUCGCCCGCCUACACGCGCUUUACGCCCAGUAAUUCCGAACAACGCUAGCCCCCUUCGUAUUACCGCGGCUGCUGGCAC
This 292-nucleotide ribosomal RNA is filed under the name uncultured bacterium. Its description in RNAcentral is "partial 16S ribosomal RNA". The record is from RNAcentral.